AGACCAAUAGCGAACAAGUACUGUAAAGGAAAGUUGAAAAGUACACUGUUAAGUGGGUGAAAAAGCGUCUGAAAUUAUGAAGAAUUAAGCGUGAUCAGCGCGUUAUAGGAGACUAGAUACUCAAGGCAGUCUUCGGAUUGUUGUACUUAUCUAGUUCGAUCAGCAUCAUUCUACUUGUAGAAUGUUCAACUGAUGGACAACCAACUUUAGGAUAUGUUGUUUUAUUACUGGCAACACCCUAUCCUCAUUCCUGAUAAGCUCUGCUUGUUAGGGUGUGGUAGGGUUAGUUAGUUUAAGGUGGUAUAUCUAAUUCAAGAGUUUUUGUUCUCAAUGCUGAUCCUCAAUGACGGCUGAAACCGACCCGUCUUGGAACACGGACCAAGGAG
RNAcentral lists this ribosomal RNA (386 nucleotides) under Blepharisma japonicum. Its description in RNAcentral is "partial Eukaryotic large subunit ribosomal RNA". It matches the Rfam family "Eukaryotic large subunit ribosomal RNA", at positions 331 to 673 of the family's 3401-position model. The record is from RNAcentral. Lineage: Eukaryota; Ciliophora; Heterotrichea; Heterotrichida; Blepharismidae.